Perognathus longimembris pacificus (Pacific pocket mouse) is the source of this 190-nucleotide long non-coding RNA. RefSeq lists it as uncharacterized. NCBI's taxonomy places the organism in Eukaryota, Metazoa, Chordata, Mammalia, Rodentia, Heteromyidae. The record is from RefSeq and is a predicted model, not a curated record. The transcript has 3 exons.
AGCGAGAUCCACUUUACAAGGGAGAAAAUUGUAUAAAACUCCAUCUUUUAUUUUGCAUACUUUUAAUUUCAUAACACAAAAAACCACAAUACACAACACCCAACCCUGCUGGCAGAGGGGGAGAGGGGGUCAGGGCUUGAAUCCCUUGCUUCCUGCUGUGGACAGGGGACUGGAGAGUAACACCAGCAGG